AUGCAAGUCGAGGGGUAACAGGGUAAGCUUGCUUUCGCUGACGACCGGCGCACGGGUGCGUAACGCGUAUGUAACCUGCCCCCUUCAGGAGGAUAGCCCGGAGAAAUCCGGAUUAAUACUCCAUAAUAUGUACGAACCGCAUGGUUUGGAUAUUAAAGAUUUAUCGGAAGGGGAUGGACAUGCGUCCCAUUAGGUAGUUGGUGAGGUAAUGGCUCACCAAGCAUCGAUGGGGAGGGGUUCUGAGAGGAUGAUCCCCCACACUGGUACUGAGACACGGACCAGACUCCUACGGGAGGCAGCAGUAGGGAAUAUUGGGCAAUGGAGGCAACUCUGACCCAGCCAUGCCGCGGGAACGAUGAAGGCCCUCGGGUCGUAAAGUUCUUUUAUAUGGGAAGAACCGUAGCUAUGCGUAGCUGCCUGACGGUACCAUAUGAAUAAGCACCGGCUAACUCCGUGCCAGCAGCCGCGGUAAU
Molecule: ribosomal RNA, 473 nt
Filed under: marine sediment bacterium ISA-7276
Lineage: Bacteria
Description: bacterial SSU rRNA
Rfam family: Bacterial small subunit ribosomal RNA
Source: RNAcentral